CAUCUUGCAAACUCGAGUCUGGGAGAACGGGAAGAGGGUUGCUACGGAGGGAGACAGGGAACGUCUCUGUUGUAGAUGUGAAGGGUGAAUAUCUGUUGUUCAUGUGAAAUGGAAGAAAGGGACAGAUGGUGAAGAGGAGAAAAGGAAAAACUGGUGGGCUUACAAAAUGUGCAUGUACUCUAACCUGAGGUUCAGCGUCAUUAUGUCAGAUAUUCAGACUUAAUUGGAUGCUAAGGUACACUAAUCUGCUAAUAAAAGAAACCAGGUUCUAAAAACAAACCUGACUGAUGCAAUUACCUCCUCUGUCACCACCAAAUGAGAAAUCUGUCUAAGAAGUUGCCAGUUUCGAACAGAGAAGCAUGUUUCUUACAUGUCUGCUAUGAACAACAAGGGUCAACCAUCUAAUGUUGUUUCUCACACAUAGAGUCUCCUACCCCAAAGCC
This is a long non-coding RNA of Alosa sapidissima (American shad), 443 nucleotides long. RefSeq lists it as uncharacterized. The transcript is spliced from 3 exons. The record is from RefSeq and is a predicted model, not a curated record. Lineage: Eukaryota; Metazoa; Chordata; Actinopteri; Clupeiformes; Clupeidae.